GACGAACGCUGGCGGCGUGCUUAACACAUGCAAGUCGAGCGGUAAGGCCCUUUCGGGGGUACACGAGCGGCGAACGGGUGAGUAACACGUGGGUGACCUGCCCUCAGCUCUGGGAUAAGCCUGGGAAACCGGGUCUAAUACUGGAUAUGACUCCAUGACGCAUGUUGUGGGGUGGAAAGCCUUGUGCGGCUGAGGAUGGGCCCGCGGCCUAUCAGCUUGUUGGUGGGGUGAGGCCUACCAAGGCGACGACGGGUAGCCGGCCUGAGAGGGCGACCGGCCACACGUGGGACUGAGACACGGGCCCAGACUCCUACGGGAGGCAGCAGUGGGGGAAUCUUGCGCAAGUGGGUCGAAAGCCUGACGCAGCGACGCCGCGUGAGGGAUGACGG
This 389-nucleotide ribosomal RNA is filed under the name uncultured bacterium. RNAcentral describes it as "bacterial SSU rRNA". It matches the Rfam family "Bacterial small subunit ribosomal RNA", at positions 28 to 414 of the family's 1533-position model. The record is from RNAcentral.